This is a long non-coding RNA of Camelus dromedarius (Arabian camel), 1096 nucleotides long. RefSeq lists it as uncharacterized. The transcript is spliced from 7 exons. NCBI's taxonomy places the organism in Eukaryota, Metazoa, Chordata, Mammalia, Artiodactyla, Camelidae. The record is from RefSeq and is a predicted model, not a curated record.
GCCUCUGAAUCCCAAUCAUCUGAAAACCGUGUCCUCAGCCUUUGAUACCUUCAGCUGUUUUAUGAAAGUCCUCCAAGUGGAUGAAAGUAUCAACAACCGGAACAAGAGUUUUUCAUUGCCCUAUUUGAGAAGAGCUGCGUGAACGACUUUUAUAUUCAGGAUAGAGAUACAUUCAUCAAUCCAACCACCAGGAGCCUCACUGGACUCCAUCUGAGAUGACAGCAACCCCUCAAAUUCAGAAGCACUUCUCUAACUGACAACAUCUCGCAUGAAAUGAAGUUUGUAAAAUUGCAACUUCAGCCUCCAUCAGAGGACCUCAGCUGCCCCAGCGAACAGGGCCUUCUGUACAGGGAAUGUGCUCCUCCUCGAAGCAUAGACAAGAAGCAGCCCUUAGAUCUCAUCAGGAAAUUCUACGGAGAGAAGGUCGGAAUCUACUUUGCUUGGGCUGGGCUAUUACAUUCAGAUGCUCCUCCUGGCAGCAGUCGUGGGGGUGACUUGCUUUCUUGUGACCCAGGUGGCUGUCUCCUUGAACUGAUGAUGCAGCUGACAAUAAUCAUGGGAGGACAGUCCAUCUGGAAUAACAUACAAGAGGUGUUACUUCCCUGGGUCAUGAAUCUAAUGAUGCCACAGUUUCGGGAGCAGAACAGACCACCCCACGAUGGGAAUGGGACAACCAUCUGUAUCCAACGGGCAAACUGGGGUUAUUUUAUGAAUACCCUGAAAUGAGAGUAAAAGAAUUUAUGUUGUCCUUCCAUCCAUCCACCACUCCAUGUUUUGUGUCCAUUCCUUCAACAGGUAUUCAGUUUGGGUUCACCACAGUAUAUGUGGCCUCUUUCCAGUGGCCCCUCUGUUGGCUCUGGAGAACAAUAUAUUGGAAAUCAGAGUGGGUACGUGGAACCUUGACUACCCAGUAUAGACGCAUUGUGCCAGAAAAAGCCCAGAACAUCGCAGCAUGGCAGCCCACCAUGCAAGGAACAGCAAUUCUGGCUUUGGUGGACCAAUGUGAAUAAAAAGGCUUCAUUGGGUGAAGACUUAGAAAAGUCCAAAAAUGCAUUGGCGUUGUUUCCUAAGGAAUCUAGUGUUGGGUACUGUUUAA